RNAcentral lists this non-coding RNA (29 nucleotides) under Rattus norvegicus (Norway rat). Lineage: Eukaryota; Metazoa; Chordata; Mammalia; Rodentia; Muridae. The record is from RNAcentral.
UCCAAAUUCACUUCCUCUGCCUUCCCAAC